UACGUAGGGCGCAAGCGUUGUCCGGAAUUAUUGGGCGUAAAGAGCUCGUAGGCGGUCUGUCGCGUCUGGUGUGAAAUCCCAUGGCUCAACUGUGGGCUUGCAUCGGGUACGGGCAGACUAGAGUACUGUAGGGGAGACUGGAAUUCCUGGUGUAGCGGUGGAAUGCGCAGAUAUCAGGAGGAACACCGAUGGCGAAGGCAGGUCUCUGGGCAGUUACUGACGCUGAGGAGCGAAAGCAUGGGGAGCGAACAGGAUUAGAUACCCGUGUAGUCC
RNAcentral lists this ribosomal RNA (273 nucleotides) under uncultured bacterium. Its description in RNAcentral is "partial 16S ribosomal RNA". It matches the Rfam family "Bacterial small subunit ribosomal RNA", at positions 524 to 796 of the family's 1533-position model. The record is from RNAcentral.